Molecule: ribosomal RNA, 170 nt
Filed under: uncultured rumen bacterium
Lineage: Bacteria
Description: partial 16S ribosomal RNA
Rfam family: Bacterial small subunit ribosomal RNA
Source: RNAcentral
UACGGGAGGCAGCAGUGGGGAAUAUUGGGCAAUGGGCGAAAGCCUGACCCAGCAAUGCCGCGUGAAGGAUGAAGGUCUUCGGAUUGUAAACUUCUUUGAUUGGGGAAGAAUAAAUGACCUACACCAAAGAACAAGUCACGGCUAACUACGUUGCCAGCAGCCGCGGUAAU